GCAAGUCGAGCGAGAAAGCUUUUUCGGAAGUGAGUAGAGCGGCGAACGGGUGAGUAACACGUAAAUAACCUGCCCUUAAGUUCGGGAUAACCAUGCUAACGCGUGGCUAAUACCGGAUGUGGUUUAUUGGUCUCAUGGCUAGUAAAUUAAAACUACGGUGCUUAAGGAUGGAUUUGCGGACUAUUAGCUAGUUGGUGAGGUAAUGGCCUACCAAGGCGAUGAUAGUUAGCCGACCUGAGAGGGUGAUC
RNAcentral lists this ribosomal RNA (248 nucleotides) under uncultured bacterium. RNAcentral describes it as "partial 16S ribosomal RNA". It matches the Rfam family "Bacterial small subunit ribosomal RNA", at positions 57 to 305 of the family's 1533-position model. The record is from RNAcentral.